CUGUUCUCAACAAAACUAUUUCUAUAUGGACCUCGCUGUGUGUCCGAGAAGGGGCCUUCCCCAAACUCUUGGGGAAGCACAGAAUCAUCUAGAAUGUGAUUGUAUGCUGUAGCAUUAUAUUUUGCCUUCACUGGUACUAGGGGCUGAGCCCAAACCAUGAAAAACAGCCUCAGACUAAGGGGCGUUCUGGUACUUUUGGUCAUUAUGUAUAGUAAGUUACAGGAGUCAAGUUCCAGUUUCUACUUGAUCAAGAUACUCUGCUGAACUAAGUACACUCGUUCAGUCUGUACCAUCCAAAGGAAAAGAAUGACUCUUUAAGAACAUGAAGCACAUCUGCUAAAAUCAUCGGUGUGCACAGCAUUCUAAAUCUUUGUCACACACCACCAGUGUGAAGAUCCCCCCUACCAAGUAUGAAAGUGAGGGACAGCAAUCUCUCUCUUCCUGCACGGCCUCUUCCUGCCCUUUCACCCAAAGCACCAUUGUCCUUUGAGUUCCCACAUACUGUGGAAUUCCUGUGGAACUCCUUGCAGAAUGCCUAAAAUCGCUGCUGUCACUGACUUCUCUAAAUGCACAGAUAAAGUUGCUGUAAGCAGUAACCAGGCUCUCCCGACUUAGCUCGCCUGUGGCAACUAAACCUAGUCCAUCCCACGUGGAAACCAGCGCACGCCCGGCGCUGCAUCGACUAACCACUACGAAGAAGAUCCUUUCUGACAACCGACCAGCGGGGGACAACAUUGCCGCUGCUAUGGGACGAGGACUCAGCUUGCACACCUCAUGCCUGGAAACCUCCACAAAUUCACCAUACCAAGACUGUUCUCUCCAGGACUCCACAGCGACCACCGGAGGCUGCUAUCUGCAUGGACGGAUGGACAAGCUUUCAAGGCUAUAGCAGUUUGGCUUAGUCUGUACACAUGUUACUGUGUAUUUGUGUGUUUCCAUUUGGCCUUUCAGAUUGUUUGCGCUGGUGAUGUAACCUUAGAAUACAACCGCACAUGUGGUCUUUCUCUCUCCCUCUCAUUCUCCCCAACUAACUUUCCAACCCUAACGACAACACUCUCAUAGUAUAGUUGGUAGUGGAAGAAUAACUAGCUUGGUUGCAUGUAUUGCUUAAGAGCUGAAGUUACGUUUCACUCUCCAGCACUACUGGGAGCAAUACUCCUACAUAGCUGAGCUAAGUUAUUUAGUCAUGCCUGGUACACUAUAUAUAUAUAUAUAUAUGUACCCCACACAUAUGCAACAAACCCACCGUUUGCCCUUCCCCCUUUCAUCCACAAACACAUGUGCACAUGCUCCCGCACACACACACACACACACACACAUACGCCCUCCUACCUUUCAUAUUUAACAUAGUUCUCCCCAUUUAGAUUAGUUUGUGUAUGCUCUGUGUUUGUACAUUUGUUUAAUAAAUUAUUUAUAUUAAA
Long non-coding RNA from Anguilla anguilla (European eel), 1421 nucleotides. RefSeq lists it as uncharacterized. NCBI's taxonomy places the organism in Eukaryota, Metazoa, Chordata, Actinopteri, Anguilliformes, Anguillidae. The record is from RefSeq and is a predicted model, not a curated record. The transcript is spliced from 2 exons.